Molecule: ribosomal RNA, 253 nt
Filed under: uncultured bacterium
Lineage: Bacteria
Description: partial 16S ribosomal RNA
Rfam family: Bacterial small subunit ribosomal RNA
Source: RNAcentral
CACGGGGGGAGCAAGCGUUGUUCGGAAUCACUGGGCGUAAAGGGCGUGUAGGCGGUCAGGUAAGUGGGACGUGAAAUCCCUCGGCUUAACCGGGGAACUGCGCCUGAUACUGGUUGGCUUGAGUUUGGGAGAGGGACGCGGAAUUCCAGGUGUAGCGGUGAAAUGCGUAGAUAUCUGGAGGAACACCGGUGGCGAAGGCGGCGUCCUGGACCAAUACUGACACUGAGGAGCGAAAGCCAGGGGAGCAAACGGG